CCUACGGGAGGCUGCAGUAGGGAAUAUUGGUCAAUGGGGGAAAGCCUGAACCAGCAACGCCGCGUGGGGGAUGAAGGUUUUCGGAUUGUAAAACCCUUUUGUUAGAGAAGCUAAUGGCCGUAUGUAACGAAUUAGCACCGGCUGACUCCUAACCAGAAGCCCCGGUACUACGGCGGGUGCAGGCGUUACUCGGAAUCUCUGGGCGUAAAGCGCGCGUAGGCGGGAUAGCAAGUAACAUGUGAAAUCCUAUGGCUUAAGCAUCGAAGUGCAUUUGAAACUGGUAGACUUGAGUGGGGGAGAGGUAGGUGGAAUUCGUGGUGUAGGGGUAAAAUGCGUAGAUAUCAAGAGGAAUACUCAUGGCGAAGGCGGCCUGCUAGAACAUAACUGACGCUGAUGCUCGAAGGCGUGGGGAGCAAACAGGAUUAGAUACCCGAGUAGUC
This 440-nucleotide ribosomal RNA is filed under the name uncultured bacterium. RNAcentral describes it as "partial 16S ribosomal RNA". It matches the Rfam family "Bacterial small subunit ribosomal RNA", at positions 338 to 795 of the family's 1533-position model. The record is from RNAcentral.